RNAcentral lists this unclassified non-coding RNA (225 nucleotides) under plant metagenome. Its description in RNAcentral is "partial contains small subunit ribosomal RNA, internal transcribed spacer 1, and 5.8S ribosomal RNA". The record is from RNAcentral.
UCUCCGUUGGUGAACCAGUGGAGGGAUCAUUACAGGACUCGCAGGACUCCUACAACCCUGUGAACUUAACUAUAAGCACGUUGCUUCGGCGGGUGUCUCGGAGGGGGUUCUCCCUCCCCGAGACGCUAAACCCGCCGGCAGCCUACUAUACUCUGUCUCUUUGCGUUGGCAUCUCGAGUACAAUCAAACAAGUUAAAACUUUCAACAACGGAUCUCUUGGUUCUG